RNAcentral lists this ribosomal RNA (233 nucleotides) under uncultured Actinomycetales bacterium. RNAcentral's name for it is "partial 16S ribosomal RNA". It matches the Rfam family "Bacterial small subunit ribosomal RNA", at positions 97 to 334 of the family's 1533-position model. The record is from RNAcentral. Lineage: Bacteria; Bacillati; Actinomycetota; Actinomycetes; Actinomycetales.
GGCGAACGGGUGAGUAACACGUGGGUGAUCUGCCCUGCACUUCGGGAUAAGCCUGGGAAACUGGGUCUAAUACCGGAUAGGACCAUGCUUUAGUGUGUGUGGUGGAAAGUUUUUCGGUGCAAGAUGAGCCCGCGGCCUAUCAGCUUGUUGGUGGGGUAAUGGCCUACCAAGGCGUCGACGGGUAGCCGGCCUGAGAGGGUGUACGGCCACAUUGGGACUGAGAUACGGCCCAG